This 253-nucleotide ribosomal RNA is filed under the name uncultured bacterium. Its description in RNAcentral is "partial 16S ribosomal RNA". It matches the Rfam family "Bacterial small subunit ribosomal RNA", at positions 524 to 776 of the family's 1533-position model. The record is from RNAcentral.
UACGUAGGGUGCAGGCGUUAAUCGGAAUUACUGGGCGUAAAGCGUGCGCAGGCGGUUUCUUAAGUCAGAUGUGAAAGCCCCGGGCUUAACCUGGGAACUGCGUUUGUGACUGCAAGACUAGAGUGCGGCAGAGGGGGGUAGAAUUCCACGUGUAGCAGUGAAAUGCGUAGAUAUGUGGAGGAAUACCGAUGGCGAAGGCAGCCCCCUGGGUCGACACUGACGCUCAUGCACGAAAGCGUGGGGAGCAAACAGG